GGAUUGUGGCUCAGUGGUACAGCUCUUGCCUAGCAUGCAUGAGGCAGUGGGUUCAAUUCUCAGCACCA
RNAcentral lists this transfer RNA (68 nucleotides) under Marmota monax (woodchuck). RNAcentral describes it as "tRNA.Ala". Lineage: Eukaryota; Metazoa; Chordata; Mammalia; Rodentia; Sciuridae. The record is from RNAcentral.